AUGUUCGUGUGCUCCAUGACUCCACAACCUAUAAACACCCUGAGUUGGAACGUACGGGGUCUAAACUGCCCAACCCGGAGGGCAACCGUCAGUGCUACGAUUGCAGACUCCUCGUGCCAAAUCGUGUGUUUACAAGAGACGAAGCUAGAUAGCGUGGACAAAUAUGUGGCUGCCUUCCUUGGUGGCAACCGGCUGAAAAGUUUUGCGCAGCGACCGGCGACGGGAACUAGGGGUGGGAUCUUAUUACUAUGGGAUGACAACGUUGUCGAGGUCUCCGACAUUUCUUCGUCGGCCUUUUGCCUCUCCGGCAAGGUUCGCAUUCGG
This 324-nucleotide ribosomal RNA is filed under the name Triticum aestivum (bread wheat). RNAcentral's name for it is "partial small subunit ribosomal RNA". Lineage: Eukaryota; Viridiplantae; Streptophyta; Magnoliopsida; Poales; Poaceae. The record is from RNAcentral.